UGGGAGAUGAUAGCCAGAAACCAGGCU
This 27-nucleotide non-coding RNA is filed under the name Homo sapiens (human). Lineage: Eukaryota; Metazoa; Chordata; Mammalia; Primates; Hominidae. The record is from RNAcentral.